Molecule: ribosomal RNA, 326 nt
Filed under: Acasta sp. 4 MCY-2020
Lineage: Eukaryota; Metazoa; Arthropoda; Thecostraca; Balanomorpha; Balanidae
Description: partial large subunit ribosomal RNA
Source: RNAcentral
GGUAUGAAUGGCUAAACGAGAAAUAAGCUUUUUUUGUUAUAAAAAUCGAAUUUAAUUUUUUAGUGAAAAAGCUAAAAUUUUUCAGAAAGACGAGAAGACCCUAUAGAGUUUUAUGUUUUAUAUUUAUUUUCUUUAUUAGAUUUUUUCAAGUUAAUAUUUUUUGAGCAUUUUGUUGGGGCGACAUUAAGAUAAGAGAAACUCUUUAUUUUAAAAAUUUUAAUGAAAAAUUUAUUUGAUCCUUUAAAAAAGAUCAAAAGAAAAAAUUACCUUAGGGAUAACAGCGUAAUCUUUUUUGAGAGUUCUAAUCGACAAAAGGUUUGCGACCU